AACGCUAGCUACAGGCUUAACACAUGCAAGUCGAGGGGCAGCAUUUUAGUUUGCUUGCAAACUGAAGAUGGCGACCGGCGCACGGGUGAGUAACACGUAUCCAACCUGCCGAUAACUCCGGGAUAGCCUUUCGAAAGAAAGAUUAAUACCGGAUAGUAUACGAAUAUCGCAUGAUAUUUUUAUUAAAGAAUUUCGGUUAUCGAUGGGGAUGCGUUCCAUUAGUUUGUUGGCGGGGUAACGGCCCACCAAGACUACGAUGGAUAGGGGUUCUGAGAGGAAGGUCCCCCACAUUGGAACUGAGACACGGUCCAAACUCCUACGGGAGGCAGCAGUGAGGAAUAUUGGUCAAUGGGCGCGAGCCUGAACCAGCCAAGUAGCGUGAAGGAUGAAGGCUCUAUGGGUCGUAAACUUCUUUUAUAUGGGAAUAAAGUUUUCCACGUGUGGAAUUUUGUAUGUACCAUAUGAAUAAGGAUCGGCUAACUCCGUGCCAGCAGCCGCGGUAAUACGGAGGAUCCGAGCGUUAUCCGGAUUUAUUGGGUUUAAAGGGAGCGUAGGUGGAUUGUUAAGUCAGUUGUGAAAGUUUGCGGCUCAACCGUAAAAUUGCAGUUGAAACUGGCAGUCUUGAGUACAGUAGAGGUGGGCGGAAUUCGUGGUGUAGCGGUGAAAUGCUUAGAUAUCACGAAGAACUCCGAUUG
This 695-nucleotide ribosomal RNA is filed under the name uncultured bacterium. RNAcentral's name for it is "bacterial SSU rRNA". It matches the Rfam family "Bacterial small subunit ribosomal RNA", at positions 32 to 715 of the family's 1533-position model. The record is from RNAcentral.